CGGGACGGGUGAGUAAUGUCUGGGAAACUGCCUGAUGGAGGGGGAUAACUACUGGAAACGGUAGCUAAUACCGCAUAACGUCGCAAGACCAAAGAGGGGACCUUCGGGCCUCUUGCCAUCGGAUGUGCCCAGAUGGGAUUAGCUAGUAGGUGGGGUAACGGCUCACCUAGGCGACGAUCCCUAGCUGGUCUGAGAGAAUGACCAGCCACACUGGAACUGAGACACGGUCCAG
Molecule: ribosomal RNA, 232 nt
Filed under: uncultured bacterium
Lineage: Bacteria
Description: partial 16S ribosomal RNA
Rfam family: Bacterial small subunit ribosomal RNA
Source: RNAcentral